AACUCUCAGCAACGGAUAUCUUGGCUCUUGCAACGAUGAAGAACGCAGCGAAAUGCGAUACGUAGUGUGAAUUGCAGAAUUCCGCGAAUCAUCGAGUUUUUGAACGCAAGUUGCGCCCGAGGCUUGUCCGAGGGCAUUUCCGCUAGAGCGUCACC
Molecule: ribosomal RNA, 155 nt
Filed under: Bryum argenteum
Lineage: Eukaryota; Viridiplantae; Streptophyta; Bryopsida; Bryales; Bryaceae
Description: 5.8S ribosomal RNA
Rfam family: 5.8S ribosomal RNA
About the family: 5.8S ribosomal RNA (5.8S rRNA) is a component of the large subunit of the eukaryotic ribosome. It is transcribed by RNA polymerase I as part of the 45S precursor that also contains 18S and 28S rRNA. Functionally, it is thought that 5.8S rRNA may be involved in ribosome translocation.
Source: RNAcentral